CGGGGCAGUCUGGCAGUCAGAGGAAGCAUGAGUAAUUGUAAAUUAUUUCACAACCAUUGUUUUACCUGUGAACCCCAGGAAUAAUUUGUGAAAACAGAUGCCAUCUGGCAUAACUUUGCAUAAGGAACCGGGCAUGCAGAAAAAGGCUUGUUUACCUUCCAGCAGCUUCACAGCUUUCAAAAAGAUGGUGCUGCGAUACAUUUUUUUUUUUUUUAUCAACAUGUUCGUGGACAUUUGUAAUAGAUGUAUUCUUCUAUCAGGCAGAUGAUGAACACUAAAUCCCACAAGCAGUGCAGUUGGACUUGGAGCCCCGUGUCAUUCACUUCAUCCUGAACUCUCCCUGUGCCAGCCUCUACAACCCAGAGAAUAUCUACCUCUCCGAGCACGGAGGGUUUGCUGGCAACAACUGGGCCAGUGGAUUCUCCCAGAAGGAUGAAACAAUUUACGAAGAUAUAUUUGACAACAUCGAGG
Long non-coding RNA from Polyodon spathula (Mississippi paddlefish), 471 nucleotides. RefSeq lists it as uncharacterized. Lineage: Eukaryota; Metazoa; Chordata; Actinopteri; Acipenseriformes; Polyodontidae. The record is from RefSeq and is a predicted model, not a curated record. The transcript is spliced from 3 exons.